RNAcentral lists this ribosomal RNA (443 nucleotides) under uncultured bacterium. RNAcentral's name for it is "partial 16S ribosomal RNA". It matches the Rfam family "Bacterial small subunit ribosomal RNA", at positions 338 to 795 of the family's 1533-position model. The record is from RNAcentral.
CCUACGGGCGGCAGCAGUGGGGAAUAUUGGACAAUGGGGGGAACCCUGAUCCAGCGACGCCGCGUGAGUGAAGAAGUCUUUCGGUAUGUAAAGCUCUAUCAGCAGGGAAGCAAGAAAUGACGGUUCCUGACUAAGAAGCCCCGGCUAACUACGUGCCAGCAGCCGCGGUAAUACGUAGGGGGCAAGAGUUAUCCGGAUUUACUGGGUGUAAAGGGAGCGUAGACGGCGAUGCAAGUCUGAAGUGAAAGGCGGGGGGCCAACCCCCGGACUGCUUUGGAAACUGUAUGGCUGGAGUGCGGGAGAGGUAAGUGGAAUUCCUGGUGUAGCGGUGAAAUGCGUAGAUAUUAGGAGGAACACCAGUGGCGAAGGCGGCUUACUGGACUGUAACUGACGUUGAGGCUCGAAAGCGUGGGGAGCAAACAGGAUUAGAUACCCCUGUAGUC